RNAcentral lists this ribosomal RNA (395 nucleotides) under uncultured bacterium. Its description in RNAcentral is "bacterial SSU rRNA". It matches the Rfam family "Bacterial small subunit ribosomal RNA", at positions 28 to 425 of the family's 1533-position model. The record is from RNAcentral.
GACGAACGCUGGCGGCGUGCUUAACACAUGCAAGUCGAGCGGUAAGGCCCUUUCGGGGGUACACGAGCGGCGAACGGGUGAGUAACACGUGGGUGACCUGCCUUUAGCUCUGGGAUAAGCCUGGGAAACUGGGUCUAAUACCGGAUAUGACUCCGCGGUGCAUGCUGUGGGGUGGAAAGCCUUGUGCGGCUGGAGAUGGGCCCGCGGCCUAUCAGCUUGUUGGUGGGGUGAGGCCUACCAAGGCGACGACGGGUAGCCGGCCUGAGAGGGCGACCGGCCACACUGGGACUGAGACACGGCCCAGACUCCUACGGGAGGCAGCAGUGGGGAAUAUUGGACAAUGGGCGCAAGCCUGAUCCAGCGAUGCCGCGUGUGUGAAGAAGGCCUGCGGGGUU